RNAcentral lists this long non-coding RNA (1229 nucleotides) under Marmota monax (woodchuck). The record is from RNAcentral. Lineage: Eukaryota; Metazoa; Chordata; Mammalia; Rodentia; Sciuridae.
CAAUCCCCAGCACCUCAAAAACAAAAACAGAAAAAGUACAUUAAACCUUAUUCCCAAAUUCUGGGGAUCUGCCUUUUGUGCAGCUACGGUUCACAGAUGACAGUAUGUACUGUGCAUAGCACACGGGUAAUUUUAUGUGUGCACAUCUAAGCAGGUUUGUUUACGCCAGCAUGCCCACAAAUGUGAGUAGCUGGAUAACUCGGGCAUCUCUAGGAGACAGGGACUUUCCAGAUCUGUGGCAAUCUCAUGGACCAACAUCAUGUGUGGGGUGCACUGUUCACCAAAACAUGAUCAGGGGCGUCAUGGUUGUAUUGGGAGAUGAGUAAGGAAUUUUCCCCAAGUGAAGGAAGAACUGAAUGUGCAGACAGAAAGGACAGGAUGCUUUGAAUGGAGACCCUAUAGGGACCCACUGGAAAAGUCAAUCCAGAACAGUUGACACCAGAAAAACAAAACAAUCCCCCAAAUCCUGGUUAUUAUUGAAACUCAAGAACAAAAAAAUAAUUCCUCAGUGCUCAGGCAGGAAAAACAAAUUUCUUAUAAAAUAUUUUAAUUAAGAAAAAGUUCAGCAGCCCACAUUCGACAUCAGAAAACUGUGUAGCCACCUAAUGAUAAAUCAGGCCAAAUGAGACAUGGCCCUAGUUAAAGAAAAACUGGAAAAAAUACUGACGUAAGAGUUGAGUCUAGGGGCUGGGGUUGUGGCUCGGUGGAAAAGCACUUGCCUAGUAUGUGUGAGGCACUGGGUUUGAUUCUCAGCGCCACAUAGAAAUAAAUAAAAUAAAGGUCCAUCAAAAACUAAAAGUUAAGUCUAGUAAAUGGACAGGCAAGCGAACGGCCCUGGGAGUGGCAGAUGCAGAACAGUGUUUAGCAUUUUGUUUGGAAAUUAUUUCAAACUCGGUGAGAAGUUGUAAGAAUGGAGCGAGGCAUGCUCAUAUACUCCAAGGAUGGUUUUUAUGUAAACAUGGUGGAGCUGUUAAGGAAGUCUCACCUUGGUACCACUUCCAUAGGUGGCCUAGUGAAUCGGCCGUGUUCCUGGGGUCCCAGUCCUGGCCUUUUAUGGCACUUUUUAGUUUGUUUUUGGAUUCAGGGUUCUAUUAUGUUCAUUGAGUGUCUCUCUGGUGUCCUUCAUUCUGGAGUGCUUCCUCUGUCUAUUGACACUGACAUUUAAGAGAACAGGCCUGCUGGGCGCAAUAGUGCACCCCUAUAGUUCCAGCUGUUUGGGAGGCUGAGAC